GCUCAGAUAUGACGAUGGACAUUGCAAAGAGUGGCGAACGGGUGAGUAACACGUGGGAAACCUACCUCUUAGCAGGGGAUAACAUUUGGAAACAGAUGCUAAUACCGUAUAACAAUAGCAACCGCAUGGUUGCUACUUAAAAGAUGGUUCUGCUAUCACUAAGAGAUGGUCCCGCGGUGCAUUAGUUAGUUGGUGAGGUAAUGGCUCACCAAGACGAUGAUGCAUAGCCGAGUUGAGAGACUGAUCGGCCACAAUGGGACUGAGACACGGCCCAUACUCCUACGGGAGGCAGCAGUAGGGAAUCUUCCACAAUGGGCGAAAGCCUGAUGGAGCAACGCCGCGUGUGUGAUGAAGGGUUUCGGCUCGUAAAACACUGUUGUAAGAGAAGAAUGACAUUGAGAGUAACUGUUCAAUGUGUGACGGUAUCUUACCAGAAAGGAACGGCUAAAUACGUGCCAGCAGCCGCGGUAAUACGUAUGUUCCAAGCGUUAUCCGGAUUUAUUGGGCGUAAAGCGAGCGCAGACGGUUAUUUAAGUCUGAAGUGAAAGCCCUCAGCUCAACUGAGGAAUUGCUUUGGAAACUGGAUGACUUGAGUGCAGUAGAGGAAAGUGGAACUCCAUGUGUAGCGGUGAAAUGCGUAGAUAUAUGGAAGAACACCAGUGGCGAAGGCGGCUUUCUGGACUGUAACUGACGUUGAGGCUCGAAAGUGUGGGUAGCAAACAGGAUUAGAUACCCUGGUAGUCCACACCGUAACGAUGAGUGCUAGGUGUUUGAGGGUUUCCGCCCUUAAGUGCCGCAGCUAACGCAUUAAGCACUCCGCCUGGGGAGUACGACCGCAAGGUUGAACUCAAGGGAAUUGACGGGGACCGCACAAGCGUGGAGCAUGUGGUUUAUUCGAAGCACGCGAAGAACCUUACCAGGUCUUGACAUCCUUGACACUCCGAGAUGGACGUUCCUUCGGGACAAGUGACAGGUGGUGCAG
RNAcentral lists this ribosomal RNA (982 nucleotides) under Weissella sp. L7. Its description in RNAcentral is "bacterial SSU rRNA". It matches the Rfam family "Bacterial small subunit ribosomal RNA", at positions 66 to 1046 of the family's 1533-position model. Lineage: Bacteria; Bacillati; Bacillota; Bacilli; Lactobacillales; Lactobacillaceae. The record is from RNAcentral.